AGCAGCCGCGGUAAUUCCAGCUCCAAUAGCGUAUAUUAAAGUUGUUGCAGUUAAAAAGCUCGUAGUUGAAUUUCGGGGUUCUACCGUUGGUCGGGCUAUUGUCUGUACUGGCGUGUGGAAUUUCUACCUUCUGGGGAACCAUCAUGUUAUUAAUUUAGCGUGGUGGGAAACCAGGACCUUUACCUUGAAAAAUUAGAGUGUUCAAAGCAGGCUUACGUCUGAAUACAUUAGCAUGGAAUAAUAAAGUAGGACGGUGGUCCUGUUUUGUUGGUUUCUGAAUCACCGUAAUGAUUAAUAGGGAUAGUUGGGGGCAUUAGUAUUCAAUUGUCAGAGGUGAAAUUCUUGGAUUUAUUGAAGACUAACUACUGCGAAAGCAUUUGCCAAGGAUGUUUUCAUUAAUCAAGAACG
RNAcentral lists this ribosomal RNA (408 nucleotides) under uncultured Gigaspora. RNAcentral's name for it is "SSU rRNA". It matches the Rfam family "Eukaryotic small subunit ribosomal RNA", at positions 569 to 985 of the family's 1831-position model. The record is from RNAcentral. Lineage: Eukaryota; Fungi; Glomeromycota; Glomeromycetes; Diversisporales; Gigasporaceae.